AACGAACGCUGGCGGCAUGCCUAACACAUGCAAGUCGAACGAGACCUUCGGAUCUGGUUGCGCACGGGUGCGUCACGCGUGGGAACCUGCCCUUAGGUUCGGAAUAACUCCCCGACGUGGGUGCUAAUGCCGGAUAAUUUCUGCGGACCAAAGAUUUUUCGCCUUUGGAUGGGCACGCGUUGGUUUAGCUAGUUGGUAGGGUAAAAGCCUACCACGGCGAGGCUCCAUAGCUGGUCAGAGAGAAUGAGCGGCGACACUUGGACGGAGACACGGCCCAGACUCCUACGGGAGGCAGCAAUGGGGAAUACUGGACAACGGGGGAAAGGAUGAUCCAGCAAUGCCGCGUGAGUGAUGAAGGCCUUAGGGUUGUAAAGCUCGUUUACCCGGGAUGAUAAUGACAGUACCGGGAGAAUAAGCACCGGCUAACUCCGUG
RNAcentral lists this ribosomal RNA (433 nucleotides) under uncultured bacterium. RNAcentral's name for it is "partial 16S ribosomal RNA". It matches the Rfam family "Bacterial small subunit ribosomal RNA", at positions 29 to 507 of the family's 1533-position model. The record is from RNAcentral.